Molecule: ribosomal RNA, 253 nt
Filed under: uncultured bacterium
Lineage: Bacteria
Description: partial 16S ribosomal RNA
Rfam family: Bacterial small subunit ribosomal RNA
Source: RNAcentral
UACGUAGGCAGCAAGCGUUGUUCGGAGUUACUGGGCGUAAAGGGUGCGUAGGCGGUUGUUUAAGUUUGGUGUGAAAUCUCCCGGCUCAACUGGGAGGGUGCGCCGAAUACUGAAUGACUAGAGUGCGGGAGAGGAGAGUGGAAUUCCUGGUGUAGCGGUGAAAUGCGUAGAUAUCAGGAGGAACACCGGUGGUGUAGACGGCUCUCUGGACCGUAACUGGCGCUGAGGCACGAAAGCGUGGGUAGCAAACAGG